UUGGAGGGCAAGUCUGGUGCCAGCAGCCGCGGUAAUUCCAGCUCCAAUAGCGUAUAUUAAGGUUGUUGCAGUUAAAAAGCUCGUAGUUGAAUAUCGGGAUUGACGUGACGGUCGUGCCUUAAGGGGUAUGAACUGUUACAGUCAAUUUCUCACCUUCUGGAGAAAUAUGAUGUCCUUAAUUGGGUGUCAUAUGGAACCAGAACUUUUACCUGAAAAAUUGAGUGUUUAAAGCAAGCUUAUUGCUCGAAUAUAUUAGCAUGGAAUAAUAAAAUAGGACGGCAUGGUUCUAUUUUGUGGUUUCUAGGAUCACCGUAAUAAUUAAUAGGGAUAGUUGGGGGCAUUAGUAUUCAAUUGUCAGAGGUGAAAUUCUUGGAUUUAUUGAAGACUAACUACUGCGAAAGC
RNAcentral lists this ribosomal RNA (402 nucleotides) under uncultured Entrophospora. RNAcentral describes it as "SSU rRNA". It matches the Rfam family "Eukaryotic small subunit ribosomal RNA", at positions 548 to 952 of the family's 1831-position model. The record is from RNAcentral. Lineage: Eukaryota; Fungi; Glomeromycota; Glomeromycetes; Entrophosporales; Entrophosporaceae.